Long non-coding RNA from Sorex fumeus (smoky shrew), 373 nucleotides. RefSeq lists it as uncharacterized. The transcript has 3 exons. NCBI's taxonomy places the organism in Eukaryota, Metazoa, Chordata, Mammalia, Eulipotyphla, Soricidae. The record is from RefSeq and is a predicted model, not a curated record.
AUUGGAAACAUAUGAUUCUGGGGUUCCCAUAUUCUAACGGAUGCACAAUUGAGGUCCUUUGUGUCUCUGGUUAGCAGAAAUGCUGAGACCCUCACUGAAAAUAGCACCCAUGUACAUGCACCAAUAUGCAAUUGCAUGUAUCUUUUAAAGGAACUGUCAAAAAUGCUGCUUGAUACACUCAUUCUAAGGAUAUGAAGACAUUAGUUUAAAGACACAUUUGCUCUAUUAUCUUCAUAGCAGCUAUACUCAUAACUGUCACGAUAUCGAAUCAAGCUAUGCAUGCAUCAAGAGAUGAAUGCAUAAAGAGGCAACGGUAUAUUUGCUCAAUUGAAUAUCACUCUGUCACGAAAAAAUGUGAAGUUGACCUCUUGGA